RNAcentral lists this transfer RNA (70 nucleotides) under Scorpaenopsis cirrosa. RNAcentral's name for it is "tRNA-Trp". It matches the Rfam family "tRNA". From Rfam's summary of the family: Transfer RNA (tRNA) molecules are approximately 80 nucleotides in length. The record is from RNAcentral. RNAcentral also lists the same sequence under 1 other name. Lineage: Eukaryota; Metazoa; Chordata; Actinopteri; Perciformes; Scorpaenidae.
AGGGAUUUAGGUUAAAUGAGACCGUGGGCCUUCAAAGCCCAAAGCGAGAGUGAGACUCUCCCAGUCCCUG